Long non-coding RNA from Magnolia sinica, 1328 nucleotides. RefSeq lists it as uncharacterized. Lineage: Eukaryota; Viridiplantae; Streptophyta; Magnoliopsida; Magnoliales; Magnoliaceae. The transcript has 2 exons. The record is from RefSeq and is a predicted model, not a curated record.
GCAUUAAUUUAUGCAUUUGUCUUUUUUUUUUUUUUUUUUCGUUUUUUAUGGGGUGUGCUCCUGUAGUACUGGUACCACUGUAAGGUACAAUAAGUCAGAAUUAUGGGGUGUGCUCCUGUAGUACUGGUACCACCGUAAGCUACAGUGACACUGGGCAGAAGUGGGUCCUACAUGAUGUAUUCACGACAUCCAACCUGUCCAUCGGAGCUGUCACCGCUGGGUACCCCCGGGGCCCAAAAAUCAGCCCACACGGAAACUCAAGUGGGCUGCAACACAGGGAACAAGUUGAGAGGGGAUGUCCACCCUUGAUUUGCAUGGGGCAGUAAUGGCCGUUAUGGGGCGUAACGGCCAUUACGGCUCCUGUGACGGUUGAUUUGAGCCAAAAACUGGGGGGUCACCGUUUCGACCCCUGUAUCGCAUAAUGGACUUGGCCGUUACUGUUACGUAUUAGGUAUUAUGGUCGAUAUGUAACUGAUUUGGUACACCUUGCAUGUGGGCCACACCACAGGAAACAGUGGUGAUUGAGCGCCCACCAUUAAAAACUUCUUGGGGGUGACAAAAGUUUCGGAUGAAGCUAAUAUUUGUGUUUUCCCUUCAACCAGGUAUGUGUCACCUAAUCAACAGGUUUGAUGGCAAAUAAACAUUAUAGUGGGCCUUAGGAAGUUUUUAAUGGUAGGCAUUGAGUCACCAUUGUUUUCUUGUGGUGUGGUCCACUUGCAAUUUGGAUCUGCCUCAUUUUAGGGUUCACCCUAAAAUAAUAUGAAAAAAUAGAUGGACAGCAUAGACAAAACAAAUACAUCAUGGUGGGGCCCACAAAGCGCCGUCCAGUAGCCACCAUGCUACUGGUAGCGUCAAUAGUCAAUCUGCAUCCCAUUUUUCGAGCAUUCCUCGGGCUCGGGCCCUAUAUGAGGAUUCCGGGCUGGACUAUUUGGGCCCAUCACAGACCUGGGUCGGAUUUGGGCUUAGGCUAAAUAAUGUGGGCGGGGUGUGGACAGAGCUUGGCCCGGCCCAUUUACACCCCUAACUGUAAGUUUAUGGUGUUAGUGCCUAGUGGUAGCACUGGAGCACACCUCUCAUAUCAUUUGGUUGGUAGGUCUUUAAUGCUUCGUUGAAACAGAUCAUCAUAAUCCUCCCUUUGAAAUGUUGAACUCUUAAAACCAUUACUAAUCCAUUUGAAUCAGGUGGAGAGUGGAUAUCUUGGGAUGCUGAUUCUCAAUCUUUGUGAGAUGAGAUGUUAAUACAAGUGAUGAAUGAUGAAAUUUUGCUUUGAUAUUAUUCAGCUAUCAUCUACUUUUGUUUCUAAACUUUAAGUUCUUAUACUGAUAAAA